Physcomitrium patens is the source of this 1380-nucleotide non-coding RNA. NCBI's taxonomy places the organism in Eukaryota, Viridiplantae, Streptophyta, Bryopsida, Funariales, Funariaceae. The record is from RefSeq and is a predicted model, not a curated record.
GUUGUUUAGUUUUUGUGGGUUUUUGUUGUCAUUCCUAUUACAAUGAUGAUGAUGCUGCUGGUGAUUGUUGGUGGCUGGGGGCGUUUCUGCUGCAGGUAGAGUUCAUUGUGGGGUAAAAAGGAAGAGUACUGUGUGAGUGAUUGAUGUUUUGUUUGUCCUCUUUUGCUUUCUCGUCGGGGCGGGGAUCAUUGGUUUGAAUAUGGCAAAUCGAAUUUUGGAGGAUACCAGGUUUCUGUUAUUGUCGUGGAUGCGAAGCGGGCGUGCACUGGCGCUACUGGAGCUGGGCAGGGAUACGUCUGGUUGAAGCACCGCAAUCCAGCAGGCAAGACGUGGCGGUUGCUUCACCGCAGCAAGCUUUUGUGGGAGCAGCUGGUUGCAGAUUUAGUUGCUAUGCUUGGGUUCUUCUGCAGUGGUUCUCAAUCUCUUCAUUAUGUAUAUGAAAUUUGUUAUGUGAUCUUGUCUGUUGCAGUUGAAAUAUUGUAUUCCAUUUUGUUGUGUACAGUGUCACCAUAUUAUUUGUUAUCAAAUUCCAUUGUCAUUAUGUUAUUAUUUUCUGAUAUUGAAUAUUAAUAUGAUGGAUUGAGUGGAAUCGUUCCUCUUUCUUUUCUUUUGCAAAUCUUUGUCAAUUUCAAAGAGACAUCUGAAUUGGUGUUAUUGUGAGGCUCAUACUUGUUUUAUUCUUAUCUCUCCUUUUGUUUUCUCAAUUUGACUAGUAAUGACAAUUGCAGAGUCCUGAUGCUGCGUCGACACUUGCAGAGUUCCUAACAUCACAAUGUUAUCCAUCUUUUCUUUGGUGCCUAUUGUAGCAGCAUUUGCACGUGGGCAAGACAAUAGAGAUAAAGGAAAGAGGAGAAGAAGCAGCAGGAGUAGGCACGGAAGACGCACAUGUCGACGCAGCAUAUCGAAAUCACGCAGUGGAUGAUCACGAAUGAAGCUGCCAAUUGCAAGAAAACUUGUUCACGGAGUAAAAAGACGAUGUCGAAGGUUAUUUGUAGUCAGGGACUCAAACUAGCAAAACAGGUGGUAUGGCACAUUGGUGUGGCAAAUUGGUGGACAAUUUUGAUUGGUACCAGAAGGCAAGAGUGAAGUUCUACUCAACGUUAUUGGUGGAACUUGACAAGUAUGUUGGCAAUGCUAGACAUCUUGUCUUUUGCCUCCAAUACAUUAGCAAUUGUAAGGUCAUUGUAGAGAGGAUCAACUAUCUUUGGAUGCAACACUUCAUGCAGGCCAAAACAUUACAAGGCAAAUGCAAAUCGGUAAGCUUAUGAUUAAUAUAGUGCAACUGGCACACAUCAAAUAAGAGAGCAUGUUUCAUUUGAAACUCCUUAGAUGUCACUUAUGCAAUAUUUUAUAAAGUAUAUUUAAAGUUGAUUGAUGUUA